CAGUAGCCACGGUAAUACGAAGGGGGCUAGCGUUGUUCGGAAUUACUGGGCGUAAAGGGCGCGUAGGCGGCCAUUCAAGUUAGAUGUGAAAGCCCUGGGCUCAACCUAGGAAUUGCAUUUGAUACUGUUUGGCCUGAGUUCGGGAGAGGUGAGUGGAAUUCCCAGUGUAGAGGUGAAAUUCGUAGAUAUUGGGAAGAACACCAGUGGCGAAGGCGGCUCACUGGACCGACACUGACGCUGAGGCGCGAAAGCGUGGGGAGCAAACAGGAUUAGAUACCCCGGUAGUCCCUGUCUCUUAUAC
RNAcentral lists this ribosomal RNA (301 nucleotides) under uncultured bacterium. Its description in RNAcentral is "partial 16S ribosomal RNA". It matches the Rfam family "Bacterial small subunit ribosomal RNA", at positions 509 to 807 of the family's 1533-position model. The record is from RNAcentral.